UGUAUAAGGUAGCUCAGCAGGAUAGAGCAACGCCCUUCUAAGGCGUCGGUCGGGAGUUCGAAUCUCUCCUGGGACGU
Molecule: transfer RNA, 77 nt
Filed under: Bacillus safensis
Lineage: Bacteria; Bacillati; Bacillota; Bacilli; Caryophanales; Bacillaceae
Description: tRNA-Arg
Rfam family: tRNA (bases 9-69)
About the family: Transfer RNA (tRNA) molecules are approximately 80 nucleotides in length. Their secondary structure includes four short double-helical elements and three loops (D, anti-codon, and T loops).
Source: RNAcentral